CAUGCAGUCGAACGAAAGCCCUUCGGGGCGAAAGUGGCGAAAGGGCGAGUAAUACGAUCGAACGUACCCCAAGGUGGAGGAUAGUGUCGGGAAACCGGCGGUAAUACUCCAUGUGCUCUUCGGAGGAAAGCUUUGGCGCCUCGGGAGCGGCGAUCGUCCUAUCAGGUAGUUGGUGAGGUAAAGGCUCACCAAGCCGAAGACGGGUAGCGGGUGUGAGAGCAUGACCCGCCGCAUCGGGACUGAGACACUGCCCGGACUCCUACGGGAGGCUGCAGCGACGAAUCUUCCGCAAUGGGCGAAAGCCUGACGGAGCAAUGCCGCGUGUGGGAUGAAGCAUCUUCGAUGUGUAAACCACUGUCAGAAUCUAGGAACACUGACCAGAUUCAAAGGAAGGGCCGGCUAAUUCUGUGCCAGCAGCCGCGGUAAUACAGAAGGCCCGAGCGUUAAUCAGAAUUACUGGGCUUAAAGCGUGCGCAGGCUGUCUAGAAAGUAUCCCGUGAAAUCCCUCGGCUCAACCGGGGAACUGCGGGGUAAACUGCUAGACUUGAGAAAGGUAGGGGCUGAUGGAACCAUGAGUGGAGCGGUGAAAUGCGUAGAUAUUCAUGGGAACGCCGAUGGGGAAGCCGAUCAGCUGGGCCUUUUCUGACGCUCAUGUACGAAAGCGUGGGGAGCAAACAGGAUUAGAUACCCUGGUAGUCCACGCCGUAAACGAUGUGCACUAGGUCGUGGCAACUCUGACGUUGUCGCGGCCGAAGGAAAACUAUUAAGUGCACCGCCUGGGGAGUACGGUCGCAAGGCUAAAACUCAAAGGAAUUGACGGGGGCUCACA
RNAcentral lists this ribosomal RNA (829 nucleotides) under uncultured Planctomycetota bacterium. RNAcentral describes it as "bacterial SSU rRNA". It matches the Rfam family "Bacterial small subunit ribosomal RNA", at positions 54 to 925 of the family's 1533-position model. The record is from RNAcentral. Lineage: Bacteria; Pseudomonadati; Planctomycetota.